This 2904-nucleotide ribosomal RNA is filed under the name Shigella flexneri 5 str. 8401. RNAcentral describes it as "bacterial LSU rRNA". It matches the Rfam family "Bacterial large subunit ribosomal RNA". RNAcentral also lists the same sequence under 1 other name. The record is from RNAcentral. Lineage: Bacteria; Pseudomonadati; Pseudomonadota; Gammaproteobacteria; Enterobacterales; Enterobacteriaceae.
GGUUAAGCGACUAAGCGUACACGGUGGAUGCCUUGGCAGUCAGAGGCGAUGAAGGACGUGCUAAUCUGCGAUAAGCGUCGGUAAGGUGAUAUGAACCGUUAUAACCGGCGAUUUCCGAAUGGGGAAACCCAGUGUGAUUCGUCACACUAUCAUUAACUGAAUCCAUAGGUUAAUGAGGCGAACCGGGGGAACUGAAACAUCUAAGUACCCCGAGGAAAAGAAAUCAACCGAGAUUCCCCCAGUAGCGGCGAGCGAACGGGGAGCAGCCCAGAGCCUGAAUCAGUGUGUGUGUUAGUGGAAGCGUCUGGAAAGGCGUGCGAUACAGGGUGACAGCCCCGUACACAAAAAUGCACAUACUGUGAGCUCGAUGAGUAGGGCGGGACACGUGGUAUCCUGUCUGAAUAUGGGGGGACCAUCCUCCAAGGCUAAAUACUCCUGACUGACCGAUAGUGAACCAGUACCGUGAGGGAAAGGCGAAAAGAACCCCGGCGAGGGGAGUGAAAAAGAACCUGAAACCGUGUACGUACAAGCAGUGGGAGCACGCUUAGGCGUGUGACUGCGUACCUUUUGUAUAAUGGGUCAGCGACUUAUAUUCUGUAGCAAGGUUAACCGAAUAGGGGAGCCGAAGGGAAACCGAGUCUUAACUGGGCGUUAAGUUGCAGGGUAUAGACCCGAAACCCGGUGAUCUAGCCAUGGGCAGGUUGAAGGUUGGGUAACACUAACUGGAGGACCGAACCGACUAAUGUUGAAAAAUUAGCGGAUGACUUGUGGCUGGGGGUGAAAGGCCAAUCAAACCGGGAGAUAGCUGGUUCUCCCCGAAAGCUAUUUAGGUAGCGCCUCGUGAAUUCAUCUCCGGGGGUAGAGCACUGUUUCGGCAAGGGGGUCAUCCCGACUUACCAACCCGAUGCAAACUGCGAAUACCGGAGAAUGUUAUCACGGGAGACACACGGCGGGUGCUAACGUCCGUUGUGAAGAGGGAAACAACCCAGACCGCCAGCUAAGGUCCCAAAGUCAUGGUUAAGUGGGAAACGAUGUGGGAAGGCCCAGACAGCCAGGAUGUUGGCUUAGAAGCAGCCAUCAUUUAAAGAAAGCGUAAUAGCUCACUGGUCGAGUCGGCCUGCGCGGAAGAUGUAACGGGGCUAAACCAUGCACCGAAGCUGCGGCAGCGACGCUUAUGCGUUGUUGGGUAGGGGAGCGUUCUGUAAGCCUGUGAAGGUGUGCUGUGAGGUAUGCUGGAGGUAUCAGAAGUGCGAAUGCUGACAUAAGUAACGAUAAAGCGGGUGAAAAGCCCGCUCGCCGGAAGACCAAGGGUUCCUGUCCAACGUUAAUCGGGGCAGGGUGAGUCGACCCCUAAGGCGAGGCCGAAAGGCGUAGUCGAUGGGAAACAGGUUAAUAUUCCUGUACUUGGUGUUACUGCGAAGGGGGGACGGAGAAGGCUAUGUUGGCCGGGCGACGGUUGUCCCGGUUUAAGCGUGUAGGCUGGUUUUCCAGGCAAAUCCGGAAAAUCAAGGCCGAGGCGUGAUGACGAGGCACUACGGUGCUGAAGCAACAAAUGCCCUGCUUCCAGGAAAAGCCUCUAAGCAUCAGGUAACAUCAAAUCGUACCCCAAACCGACACAGGUGGUCAGGUAGAGAAUACCAAGGCGCUUGAGAGAACUCGGGUGAAGGAACUAGGCAAAAUGGUGCCGUAACUUCGGGAGAAGGCACGCUGAUACGUAGGUGAAGCGACUUGCUCGUGGAGCUGAAAUCAGUCGAAGAUACCAGCUGGCUGCAACUGUUUAUUAAAAACACAGCACUGUGCAAACACGAAAGUGGACGUAUACGGUGUGACGCCUGCCCGGUGCCGGAAGGUUAAUUGAUGGGGUUAGCGCAAGCGAAGCUCUUGAUCGAAGCCCCGGUAAACGGCGGCCGUAACUAUAACGGUCCUAAGGUAGCGAAAUUCCUUGUCGGGUAAGUUCCGACCUGCACGAAUGGCGUAAUGAUGGCCAGGCUGUCUCCACCCGAGACUCAGUGAAAUUGAACUCGCUGUGAAGAUGCAGUGUACCCGCGGCAAGACGGAAAGACCCCGUGAACCUUUACUAUAGCUUGACACUGAACAUUGAGCCUUGAUGUGUAGGAUAGGUGGGAGGCUUUGAAGUGUGGACGCCAGUCUGCAUGGAGCCGACCUUGAAAUACCACCCUUUAAUGUUUGAUGUUCUAACGUGGACCCGUGAUCCGGGUUGCGGACAGUGUCUGGUGGGUAGUUUGACUGGGGCGGUCUCCUCCUAAAGAGUAACGGAGGAGCACGAAGGUUGGCUAAUCCUGGUCGGACAUCAGGAGGUUAGUGCAAUGGCAUAAGCCAGCUUGACUGCGAGCGUGACGGCGCGAGCAGGUGCGAAAGCAGGUCAUAGUGAUCCGGUGGUUCUGAAUGGAAGGGCCAUCGCUCAACGGAUAAAAGGUACUCCGGGGAUAACAGGCUGAUACCGCCCAAGAGUUCAUAUCGACGGCGGUGUUUGGCACCUCGAUGUCGGCUCAUCACAUCCUGGGGCUGAAGUAGGUCCCAAGGGUAUGGCUGUUCGCCAUUUAAAGUGGUACGCGAGCUGGGUUUAGAACGUCGUGAGACAGUUCGGUCCCUAUCUGCCGUGGGCGCUGGAGAACUGAGGGGGGCUGCUCCUAGUACGAGAGGACCGGAGUGGACGCAUCACUGGUGUUCGGGUUGUCAUGCCAAUGGCACUGCCCGGUAGCUAAAUGCGGAAGAGAUAAGUGCUGAAAGCAUCUAAGCACGAAACUUGCCCCGAGAUGAGUUCUCCCUGACCCUUUAAGGGUCCUGAAGGAACGUUGAAGACGACGACGUUGAUAGGCCGGGUGUGUAAGCGCAGCGAUGCGUUGAGCUAACCGGUACUAAUGAACCGUGAGGCUUAACCUU